AGCGAACGCUGGCGGCAGGCUUAACACAUGCAAGUCGAACGGUCCUUCGGGAUAGUGGCGGACGGGUGAGUAACACGUGGGAACGUACCCUUAGGUUCGGAACAACACAGGGAAACUUGUGCUCAUACCGGAUAAGCCCUUCGGGGGAAAGAUUUAUCGCCUUUGGAGCGGCCCGCGUCUGAUUAGCUUGUUGGUGACGCAAUGGCUCACCAAGGCUACGUUCAGCAGCUGGUCUGCGAGGAUGGCCAGCCACACUGGGACUGAGACACGGCCCAGACGCCAACGGGAGGCAGCAGUGGGGGAUCUGGCGAAAUGGGCGAAAGCUGGACGCAGCCAUGCCGCGUAGAUGAUGAAGGUCUUAGGAUUGUAAAAUCCUUUCACCGAGGACGAUAAGGACGGUACCCGGAGAAGAAGCCCCGGCUAACUUCGUGCCAGCAGCCGCCGUAA
RNAcentral lists this ribosomal RNA (447 nucleotides) under uncultured bacterium. RNAcentral describes it as "partial 16S ribosomal RNA". It matches the Rfam family "Bacterial small subunit ribosomal RNA", at positions 29 to 523 of the family's 1533-position model. The record is from RNAcentral.